CUGCCUUGGACUAUGAUCUCUUAAGAUAAUGACAAUUGCUGUUCAAAACAAAAGUGCACAUGGGCUUAUUUGUCUGAGACAGAACUCCUGGUCGCGUGGAUGGCAUCACCGUUGCACCCAUCAUCAACCCCUGACAAUUCCAAAGUUAUCCCGGUGGUCCUUUCUCUCAUCCUCAUGUACACUAAGUCAAGGAGACAUCCUUCAUGAUGCCUGCAUGUGCCAGGAGCUGUGUGAGGUGCUGGAGGGAGAUGAACAAUCAGACAUGGUCCCUGACCUGAAGAGUUUGCAUUCUACCUUUCGCCGCUGCAGCCGCGGCCAUGAGUAUGCUCAGGUUUCAGAAGAGGCUUGCCUCCAGCGUCCUUCGCUGUGGCAAAAAGAAGAUCUGGUUGGACCCCAAUGAGACUAAUGAAAUCACCAAUGCCAACUCCCGCCAGCAGAUCCGGAAGCUGAUCAAAGAUGGGCUGAUCAUCCAGAAGCCUGUGACUGUCCAUUCCCGGGCUCGAUGCCGGAAAAACACCUUGGCUCACCAGAAGGGCAGGCAUAUGGGUAUAGGUAAGCGAAAGGGUACUGCCAAUGAUCGAAUGCCUGAGAAGGUAACCUGGAUGAGGAGGAUGAGAAUUCUGCGCCGGCUGCUCAGACGAUACUGUGAAUCUAAAAAGAUUGACCACCACCAUGUAUCACAGCCUGUACCUGAAGGUGAAGGGUAACGUGUUCAAAAACAAACAGAUUCUCAUGGAACAUAUCCACAAGCUGAAGGCAGACAAGGCUCACAAGAAGCUUCUGGCGGACCAGGCUGAGGCCCGCAGGUCUAAGACCAAGGAAGCCCACAAGCGCCGGGAAGAGCGGCUCCAGGCCAAGAAGGAGGAAAUCAUCAAGACUCUGUCCAAGGAGGAACAGACCAAGAAAUAAAGUUCUCCCCCUCUUCUCUGUACAUAGUGGCCUCAGCAAUUGCAUAGAUCACUCAUUCAAUAAAAGACAAGCCUCUAUCUGCCUAAAAAAAAAA
This is a non-coding RNA of Odocoileus virginianus texanus, 1003 nucleotides long. The record is from RefSeq and is a predicted model, not a curated record. Lineage: Eukaryota; Metazoa; Chordata; Mammalia; Artiodactyla; Cervidae.